GAAAAUCUGUUGACGAGUUUUGCAAAUAAACGUCCAUAAAACAGCGACCAUCCAGCUCCGGGCUUCUCUGGGAGAUGGAGAUGUCAGAGCCAGAUGCCUUCUCCCCCGAGUGUGCCUUCCCAAGGUAAACAAGCACACAGUUGUCUCAACUUUCUCCUUUAGUACAAAGUUCCUGGUGCGACGGAAAAUUUGAAUAUUUUAUCAGUCUCUUGUAGUGACCCUCAUUAGGUGGGCAUCCUGCUAAGGCCUUGGCGUUACAAGAAAGCUGCCCAAUCAGAGCAUUUGCACGCCUUGUUAGCGAUGGUUAAUGAAGCUUCCCCAUGCACUCAAAGAAAGGCCCCCUCGAUGUAGAUUUACCUUAUGUCAACUCGUUACUUCUAAUGAAUCGCAUCAAAAUUCUUCUCUGAAUGGGGCCGAGGCGCCCGGACCGGGAUCCCCUCCCCGCCCGGCGGAGCCCACCCCUGCCACCGCCGGCACUUUAGCGGAGAAUCCGGGACCAAGGUGCACUUAGACGGCGGCAAGAGAGCCUGCACACCCCCCGGGGACAGAGUUUGCCUCCUGAACUACACUUCUCUUAAUGAAGAACAGUAGCUCCGACCUCCAAACCAACUGGGACUGGCGCUUUAAAGUAGCUGCGAACAGUGCUCCCGUGUCUCAACAUGGUCACGUAGGAAUUUGAACCUUUUAAUUUCCAGACACAAGGAAUAACUCCCUCGGAGCACCGGCUUGGUUUAGGUGGUCGAUUGUUGGGUGUUUCGGUCGGAGUUUUUGAAUUUUUUUUGUUUCUAAUAAGGUAGCGAGGGAAGAUGGGGUACUAUUCCCUUGUAGACACAGAACAUAAAGGGGAAGAAAAAGCCUAGCCGGGGCAUAUUUGGCUGUAGGGAACCUGCCCGAGCCGCUCUGUAUCCCCGGCGGGAUAGCGGUCGGGGCUGCGGGCGCUGCCGCCGGCCCGGCCCAGCCCUCACCCCGGCCCUGCGCGGCAGCCAACGGGCACGUCGCCUGGUGUGACCUUCAGGGAGCACAUUUCAACUGCUAAACACCGAGAAAAGUGCUUCUCUCUCUCGCAGGCGCCAUAUUACCGCCGGGAGCCGGGGCUGGGGCGGGGGGAGGGCGGGUGCGCAGUUAGUCUAGUUUUCCGCAGUUGUUAAUUCAGACUGGACGAGCACUCGAUGGCUCCAUAAAAAGAAAAAAGAAAAAAGAAAAAAAAAAAAAAAAGAGG
RNAcentral lists this long non-coding RNA (1219 nucleotides) under Taeniopygia guttata (zebra finch). RNAcentral describes it as "lncRNA (ENSTGUG00000018885.1)". Lineage: Eukaryota; Metazoa; Chordata; Aves; Passeriformes; Estrildidae. The record is from RNAcentral.